This 7131-nucleotide long non-coding RNA is filed under the name Trifolium pratense (red clover). RNAcentral's name for it is "long non-coding RNA (TPRA_LNC000355)". The record is from RNAcentral. Lineage: Eukaryota; Viridiplantae; Streptophyta; Magnoliopsida; Fabales; Fabaceae.
ACAAAUUCUAUUUUAGUUUGACUAGUUGAACAAGGCAAAUGACUACAUAGAUCACAGUCUAUAAAAGGGCUGGUGUUGGUUUAGAAAAACAUAAGCUAGAAUGGCAGAUAUUAAACUACAUGGAUUUUGGUAUAGUCCUUUUACUUUAAGGGUAGUAUGGACCCUAAAUCUGAAGGGUAUACCAUAUGAGAACAUAGAGGAAGAUCGUUUCAACAAGAGUCCUCAACUUCUUCAAUAUAACCCAGUUCACAAAAAGACUCCUGUGCUAGUUCAUGAUGGAAAACCUAUAUGUGAGUCCAUGGUCAUUGUUGAAUACAUUGAUGAGAUAUGGCCACAGAGCUCAUUGCUUCCUGUUGAUCCUUAUGACAGAGCUCAAGCUCGAUUUUGGGUUAAAUAUGUUGAUGAAUUGGUAAUUUUUUUAUGAACUUAAUCACCAUAUUUAUUGAGUUUUUCUUUUACUUUUCUAACCUUUACAUGGUGGUGAUGAGUGGACAAUACAUGUUAUGCUUAUUUUAUAGCUAUAAUCUAUAACUAAUUUACUUUAACUUGUCUUAAACAUUACUACCUUCUAUGUUCUAAACUAACAAUAAUAUUUGGAUUGAUAUUAUAAAAGAUUUUAGCUAUUAGGGUACACUUUCGUAGCAAAAGUGGUGAAGAGCGGGAGAAGGCCAGAGAGAAUAUAUGGGAGCGACUCGGAGUUGUUGAGGAUCAGUGUUUGGAUGAUCAGAAGAAAUUCUAUGGGGGAGAUACCAUUAAUAUUGUAGACAUAGCUCUUGGAUCUUUUGUUAAUUUUAUUAAGGUUCAGGAUAGGUUAGAAGUGAAGAUCUUGCAAACUGAGAGGUUUCCCCGCUUGCAUUUAUGGUUUAAUAAUUUCAAGGAUGUUCCGAUCAUCCACGAAAACACCCCUGACCAAGAGAAGUGGGGAGCUUUUCUUAUUGAAAAAAACAAGGCAUCUUCUUGAGAAAAAUGAAUUGAUACACAAAGCAUUUGUAUCUUCAUAGGUCAUCUUAUCAUGUGUAUUGUAUUUCUUUAUGCUAAUAAAGCUACUUUACGUUGUCUUUGUACCUCAAUAAUCAAAGUUUAAAAUAAUUUCACUUCUUUUAGUAUUAUUAAGAAUAAAAUAAAUUUUUCAUGUACAUGUAGCUCAGUCGUAACUGCUAGAGACAUUAUUUGCAGGGGUCGAGGUUCAAACUUCUGAUUCCCCACUUUUCCACCCUUAAAGUGUGUCAGUAGGCUUAUUUUAUAGCUAUAAUCUAUAACUAAUUUACUUUACCUUGUGUCUUAAACAUUACCUUCUACGUUUAAAUUGAAUGAUUCCAUCUUGAUUCAAACUAACAACAACAUUUGGAUUCUUAUUUAAAGUUUUCAGGAAUCGCGGCACACUUUCGUAGCAAAAGUGGUCAAGAGCGAGAGAAGGCCAAAGAGAAUAUAUGGGAGCAACUCAUAGUCAUCGAGGAUCAAUGUUUGGGUGAUCAAAAGAAAUUCUAUGGGGGAGAUACCAUUAACAUUGUAGACAUAGCUCUCGCAUCUUUUGUCAAUUUCAUUGCGGUUCAUGAAGAUAUGUUUGAAGUGAAGAUCUUGCAAACUGAGAAGUUCCCCCGUCUGCAUUUAUGGUUUAAUAAUUUCAAAAAUGUUCCAGUCAUCAAAGAAAACACCCCUGGUCAAGAGAAGUUGGUGGCUUUUUUAAAGGGUCUUAGAGAAAAAAUGUUCGCAUUGGCAUCUUCUUGAGAAAAUUAUGGCUUUUAUGAAUUGACAAACAAAGCAUUUCUUCAUGUUACUUCUAGUUGCUUUCUUUUGUCUUUGUACGUCAAUAAUCAAAAGAUUGAAAUGAUUUCAUUUCUUUUGAAAUCUUGGUAAGAGAAACUAUUGUAUUUGAUUACCUGUACCAGUUUGAAAAUCCUUCUUCCUUAUGUUCUAAUUUACGGUUGAAUAAAUUUGUAUCAAAUUUAGUAUAUUGCAAUUUUGUUUCUAUGUGUAAGUAUAUUCCUACUGUAAAUAUCUAUUAAGAAGACGUUUGUUUGGGUGAGAUUUGCAAGAAUAAAUUUGGUUUACCUGAUGAGAGCAUUCUCUUGGCCAUGACCUUGGUAGUGGAAUACCGAUUAAGGUUGAUGAAAGACCGUUGAAUAUGGAGAGGGCCAGAGGGGGAGAUUCACCCGCGUUUGUGUCGAAAUCGACUUAGUCUACCUAUGGUAAGUAAGAUAUAUGUUCGAGGUGUUUGAUACAAAAUUGAAUAUGAAAGUCUUCAUAUCCUUUGUGGCUGAUGUGGUUGCUACAUCCAUAUUAUUCCGAACAUGAAAAUUCCUCUCAUUUAAUUAUGAUUUCAAGGGGAAAAAAUUACUCGGUUUCGAAUAAUCAAGAGGUGAUUGAGACAGAAAUAAAUGACAACAUUCAAGUGAUUGAGACUGAAUGCAUAGGUAAACACAACAUAAUACAAUAGCUAUCUAACAUACUUUAUUAUUCUUCAUGCAAAUGACCAUUGUUUAAUUUAUCAACAAAAUUAAAAUAACAUGAUCAGAUAGGUUAAAAAAAUGUAUUUAUAUAAUGCAUUUAGCCUACACAUAAGUUAAUUGACACAUAGAAAAGCAUGAACUUUGUUAGCAAUACGUAGCCAAUUUUGAUUUUGAAUUUGACUGGUUGAACAAGUAUGACUUCAUGGAUGAUGGAUCACCCACCAUCUAUAAAAAAAAAGCUGUAUUGGUUUAGGAAAACAUAAGCUAGAAUGGCAGAGAUUAAACUACAUGGAUUUUGGUAUAGUCCUUUUACUUUAAGGGUAGUAUGGACCCUAAAUUUGAAGGGUAUACCAUAUGAGAANNNNNNNNNNNNNUAUCUGUGAGUCUAUGAUCAUUGUUGAAUACAUUGAUCAGAUAUGGCCACAGAAUUCAUUGCUUCCUGCUGAUCCCUAUGACAGAGCUCAAGCUCGAUUUUGGGUCAAAUAUAUCGAUGAUAUGGUAAAAAUAUUCUAAACUUAUUCAUCAAAUUUAUAUAUUUUUUACUUAUGUAGCUUAUUUUAUAAUGUAUAACUAAUUUACUUUACCUGUCUUAAACAUUAUGUUCUAUAUGUAACGAUCCUGUCUUGAUUGAAACUAACAAUAUAUGGAUUGAUAUUUAAAGUUUUUAGCAAUUACGGCACACUUUCGUACCAGUGGUGGUGAAGAGCGAGUGAAGGCCAGAGAGAAUAUAUGGGAGCAACUCAAAGUUGUUGAGGAUCAGUGUUUGGAUGAUCAGAAGAAAUUCUAUGGGGGAGACACCAUUAACAUUGUAGACAUAGCUCUUGGAUCUUUUGUCAAUUUUAUUAAGGUUCAAGAUAGGUUUGAAGUGAAGAUCUUGCAAACGGAGAGAUUCCCCCGCUUGCAUUUAUGGUUUAAUAAAUUCAAGGAUGUUCCGGUGAUCAAAGAAAACACACCUAACCAAGAGAAAUUGGUGGCAUUUCUUAUUCCUCUUAUUGAAAAAAUCAAGGCAUCUUCUUGAGAAAAUUAUGGCUUCUAUAUGAACUGAUAUAUACAAAGCAUUUGUAUCUUCAUGUGUAUUUCUUUAUGUUAAUUAUAGUUGCUUUAUGUUGUCUUUGUAUGUCAAUAAUCAAAAGAUUAAAAUGAUUUCAUUUCUUUCAAUAUUAAGAGUAUGUACCACACAUCUUAUAAAGUUAAAGUUUAGCUGAUUCUCCACCAAAACAGAGGUAUUUGGUACCCAAGAUUACUUCAUAAGUUUAAAAUUUUAAUGUGUACAAUUCAGAUACAUCUUUUUUGAGAUACUGACUGUCGUGUUUGGAGUUCAGCAUGUGUCUCAUCCAUUGGUGGAAAACUUCGUGACUUUUAUUGAUGAUCACCUAGGAAGAUAUGAGUAAAAUUUCUUAAACAUAAGUAUGAAGUAUUUGAGAAUUUUAAGAUGUGGAAAGGCAUAAUAGGUUUAUGAGACAGUGUUGAAGAUCAAAAAGCUUAGAACCGACAAUGGUGGUUAAUACAAGACAUUAGAUUCAAUAAGUUUUGCUAUGAGCACAUGAUCAUAAUGGAGAGACCCGGGCCAAGUACACUUUGUUAAAAAUAGUGUAUAGACUGAAACUUAAACUCGACUUCUAGUUAGUUAUUGGUUACAAUUGUCUUUGAUAGUUAGCAUCUCUAACUCUCUAAUUAGUUAGAGUAGCCUGCAAGUCUUAGAGGCACUUAGAGUUAGUUACAAGUUUCAUAUGCUAUAUUUACAAAAGCAAUAUCAUGGUAUCAUUUAGAAAAUAAGUUCAAUACAUAUUAUGAAAAUUUUCUCACUGUUUCCUUUAUUACACUAUGCAAUUCUAACAUGAUAUCUUAGAGCUUCUAUUUCCUGCGCAAUACCUCAUUGAUGCAGAUCAUAUAAUAACUGAUAAUGUCAAUCCCAUUGUUUCUUGCAUGGGAGCAACAUGAUGCUUUUGUAUGCACGUGUCUUCAUUCCACGAUCUCAAACAAUCCUUUUGCCAGAGUUGUUGAUUGCACGUAUUCCUAGCAAGAUGCUCACAAAUUUCCAUACGUUACUCAAUACCAAGGCAAGACAACUAUGAUUUGAGUUGUGAAAUCUUAGUAAAGGUGGUCGCACCAUUGGAGAGUUCAUUAUGUGCAAUCAUGCAAUCAAUGAUUCAUUGAUCUUUAUUGCUAGCCCCAUUCUGCAUCAUAAUCUCAUCGAAAUUGUUCUUGAAGCACUUCCUGAGGAUUACAAUUCUGUUGUUGUUACGAGUAAGGAUGGCCCCUGUUCAUUGUUACAACCUUUGAACCAAACUUUUCUCUCUAAAGCAACAAGUCAUGCGCCGUGGAGGUGGUUUUUUUGGUUGUGGGGUGGUUCUUUUGGACAUUGCAGUCCUUUUGGCAGUGUUUAAUGCCAUAUCUACCAUAAAUCUGGUCACGGUGCAACAAUUUAUUAAUAUAUUAUCACUCUGGAUAUGGUAACUAAGGCUUCAUGACAUGAGGAACACCUCAAAAUCAAAUGUUGAUGCCUUAGAGGCCUUAGCUCCCUACUCAUUUUGGCUAUACAAACCAUAUGCACACUCCCCCACGACAACAUCAUCCUCAAGCUCUUCUCACCGGCACUUAUUCUCAAUUCAACAACCAAUGAUUGUACACCUAAUUCAUGUCUCACCGUGCAACAACAUAUGCAUCUAAAUCUUACUUAUUCAGUUUCCUUGCCAGAAUCUGAUCAUGUGCUCGGGAAAUGGUCAAGUUGUCAAUAAACUUUUAAGGGUCCAUGUCUUUUCCAUCCUCCACUAAACCUAAUAAACUUUUGCGUUGUCAAUAAAAAAAAUUCUACGUGUAAAAAUAUUCCUACUAUAAAUACUUAUACCAUUAGAUGAGAGCAAUGAUUGCGGAGAGGAUUGUUUGAGUGAGAUUUUCAUAAAUGAAUUUGGUUUACUACGACGAGAGCAUUAUCUUGGUCAUGACCUCGGCAAUGGAACGGCCAAUUAAGGUUGAUAAAGGAACGUUGAAUGUGGACUGGAGGAGAUUCAUCCGCAUUUGUGUCAAAAUCGACUUGAGCCUGCCAGUUGUAGGUAAGAUAUGUGUUUAAGGUGUUCUACACAAAAUCGAAUAUGAAGGUCUCUCUGUAUCCUUUGUUGUCAGUGUGGUUGCUAAGACCAUAUUACCAGAAAUUGUUGAGAAAGAAGGGAAUAUUCCUCAUUUCAAACAUGGAAAUUCCUCUCAUUGAUUCUGAUUCCAAGUGGAGGCGAAAAUCACCCGGAUUCAAAUAAUCAGGGACUGGUUGAGACAAAUAAAUGACAAUAUUCAAGCGAAAGAGCCAUAUAGGGAAUAUUUCACUGAUAUCGGCAUUGUUAAUUCUUGGAGUGAUGCAGUGACAGAGAAAGACUAUACUCAAGAAUACCUAUAGUGGUAGAAGCCUUGUGUAAUUUGAGGAGCUUUUUAUUUCCUCUCUUUUUUGUCUUUAUCUUUUACUCAAUUAUGUUUAUAUAUCCCAAUUUUUUAUUUCUUUUUCAUUUCUUGAAUAAUUUUUUAUCUUAUAAAAAAAAUGAUUCAAAGAGUUUGUAAAAUAUUUACUUAAAAAUAAAAAGUUUAUGAAAUAGCAUCAACAAUAUAUAAAAAUUUCAAUUUAUAUACAUUGUUAAAAAAAUUACUUAUGCAUUCAACAAUGUAUUGUCAUAUUUGGCAAAAACAAAAACAAUUUCUUUUUUACAUAUAAAGAGGUGCAACACAAGGAACAAAAACAAAAGCAAUUUCUUAAAUAAAAGGAAAAUUUAUAGAUUAUAUGUUAAAAAAUACACUAUAUAAAAUUAAAUCCUUUUGAAAUAAAGUAGAAAUAAAAGAAAAUAAAAAAUAUUAAUUCUUUUGAGAGGGGGUAUUGUAAAGAAUGUGCACACUCGUUUUAUCUGUUAGUGAUGCAAGCCCUUACGACACUUUUUUUUUUCCUUCUGUUCUUUGGAGGGGAUACCAGUACGAAAAAACAAAUCCUUUCUUUCUUUACCCAAAGAUAAAAGAAAAAUAAUAGUGCCGGCUGGACAGGAAAAAAUAGAGUAAAUUCGAGUAAGUGAUAUUCAUUUAAAGAGUUGACAUCUCUCGACAAUAAAUAUUUUCUCUAGGUCACCGGUUAGGGAUCGAAUCCAGACUAGAUGGUUAAAAGUUCAAGUAUCUACCAUUUGUGUCACACUAUGUGGGAACAUUUUACUUCUUUUGAUAUGUAUUGACUUAAAUGUACUUGAAAAAUGACAAAUACGUAGUCAAUUUUGAAUUUGACUAGUUAAUGCCAAAUGACUUCAUGGAUGAUGGGAUCACCCACCGUCUAUAAAAGAGCUGCUGCUGGUGUUGGUUUAGAAUAACGCAAGCUAGAAUGGCAGAGAUUAAACUACAUGGAUUUUGGUAUAGUCCUUUUACUUUAAGGGUAGUAUGGACCCUAAAUCUGAAGGGUAUACCAUAUGAGAACAUAGAGGAAGAUCGUUUCAAUAAGAGUCCUCAACUUCUUCAAUAUAACCCAGUACACAAGAAAACUCCAGUGCUAGUUCAUGAUGGAAAACCCAUAUGUGAGUCCAUGAUCAUUGUUGAAUACAUUGAUGAGAUAUGGCCACACAACUCAUUGCUUCCUGCUGAUCCCUAUGACAGAGCUCAAUCCCGAUUUUGGGUUAAAUAUGUUGAUGAUAUGGUAAAUUUUUUCUAAACUUAAUCACCAUAU